Molecule: non-coding RNA, 225 nt
Organism: Pelobates cultripes (western spadefoot toad)
Lineage: Eukaryota; Metazoa; Chordata; Amphibia; Anura; Pelobatidae
Source: the annotation of a GenBank genome assembly
CGCUGAACCAUUAUCUUUUUGUUCUAGUACCCAGUAUAUCCCUGCUUGAGGAUUUCUGGCUCACACUUAGUACUGUAGAACAAAUUGAACAUUACAUUCAUAUCACAUAUUCAUAAAUUUCAUUUGUAAACACAAACAUCAUUACUGAAUAAGGUUUCAAACCGAUUUGUAUAGUAAACCAAAUCCUCCUCUGCAGCAACUAUACUUCCAAUCAUUGUCAACUAG